UGAACCCUGCAUGUCUAGUAUAAAUAACUUUAUAUUGUGAAACUGCGAAUGGCUCAUUAAAUCAGUUAUGAUCUACGUGACAAAUUCUUUACUACUUGGAUAACCGUGGUAAUUCUAGAGCUAAUACAUGCAAAAAAGCCCUGACUCACGAAGGGGUGCACUUAUUAGAUAAAACCAACGCGGGGUAAAACCUGUUUCGUGGUGAAUCAUAAUAAUUAAGCGGAUCGCAUGGCCUUGAGCCGGCGACGGUCCACUCGAUUUUCUGCCCUAUCAUGGUUGAGUGUAAGAUAGAGGCUUACAAUGCCUAUAACGGGUAACGGGGAAUUAGGGUUCGAUUCCGGAGAGGGAGCCUGAGAAACGGCUACCACAUCCAAGGAAGGCAGCAGGCGCGCAAAUUACCCAAUCCCGACACGGGGAGGUAGUGACAAUACAUAACAAUGCAGGGCCCUUUACGGUCUUGCAAUUGGAAUGAGUACAAUUUAAAUCCCUUAACGAGGAUCAAUUGGAGGGCAAGUCUGGUGCCAGCAGCCGCGGUAAUUCCAGCUCCAAUAGCGUAUAUUAAAGUUGUUGCAGUUAAAACGUCCGUAGUCAAACUUUAGUCUUACCGGCGCGGUGGCCUGGUCUUCAUUGAUCAAGCUCGCUGUCGCUGGAGACUCCACGUCCGCUGGCUCCUAGUCCUCGUGGCUAGGGUUUUGUGGACAAUUACCAUGAGCAAAUCAGAGUGUUUAAAGCAGGCUUUUAAGCUUGAAUGUGUUAGCAUGGAAUAAUGAAAUAUGACUUUAGUCCUAUUUUCGUUGGUUUAGGUACUAUAGUAAUGAUUAAUAGAAACGGUUGGGGGCAUUUGUAUUUGGCCGCUAGAGGUGAAAUUCUUGGAUUGGCCGAAGACAAACUACUGCGAAAGCAUUUGACCCAGGACGUUUUCAUUGAUCAAGGUCUAAAGUUAAGGGAUCGAAGACGAUUAGAUACCGUCGUAGUCUUAACCACAAACUAUGCCGACUAGAGAUUGGGCGUGUUUCUUUUUGACUCGCUCAGCAUCUUAGCGAAAGUAAAGUUUUGGGUUCUGGGGGGGAGUAUGGGACGCAAGGCUGAAACUUAAAGGAAUUGACGGAAGGGCACCACCAGGAGUGGAGCCUGCGGCUUAAUUUGACUCAACACGGGGAAACUCACCAGGUCCAGACAUAGUAAGGAUUGACAGAUUGAAAGCUCUUUCUAGAUUCUAUGGGUGGUGGUGCAUGGCCGUUCUUAGUUCGUGGAGUGAUUUGUCUGGUUAAUUCCGAUAACGAACGAGACCUUAUUCUGCUAAUUACACAGGCUAACUCUUUCGGGUUGGUUUAUGUUUAUCAUUUAACUGUGUUCUUAGAGAGACUAUCUGCUGAGCAGAGACUU
This 1386-nucleotide ribosomal RNA is filed under the name Rhizopus azygosporus. RNAcentral's name for it is "SSU rRNA". It matches the Rfam family "Eukaryotic small subunit ribosomal RNA", at positions 45 to 1442 of the family's 1831-position model. Lineage: Eukaryota; Fungi; Mucoromycota; Mucoromycetes; Mucorales; Rhizopodaceae. The record is from RNAcentral.